This 253-nucleotide ribosomal RNA is filed under the name uncultured bacterium. Its description in RNAcentral is "partial 16S ribosomal RNA". It matches the Rfam family "Bacterial small subunit ribosomal RNA", at positions 524 to 776 of the family's 1533-position model. The record is from RNAcentral.
UACGAAGGGGGCGAGCGUUGUUCGGAAUUACUGGGCGUAAAGGGCGCGUAGGCGGCCGAUCAAGUCAGAUGUGAAAGUCCUGGGCUUAACCUGGGGACUGCGUCCGAUACUGGAAGGCUUGAAUCCGGGAGAGGGAUGUGGAAUUCCAGGUGUAGCGGUGAAAUGCGUAGAUAUCUGGAGGAACACCGGUGGCGAAGGCGACAUCCUGGACCGGUAUUGACGCUGAGGCGCGAAAGCCAGGGGAGCAAACGGG